This 68-nucleotide transfer RNA is filed under the name Marmota monax (woodchuck). Its description in RNAcentral is "tRNA.Ala". Lineage: Eukaryota; Metazoa; Chordata; Mammalia; Rodentia; Sciuridae. The record is from RNAcentral.
GCUGGGGCUCAGUGGUAGAGCUCUUGCCUUGCAUGUGCAAGACCCUGGGUUUGAUCCUCAGCACUGCA